Molecule: long non-coding RNA, 1434 nt
Filed under: Eptatretus burgeri (inshore hagfish)
Lineage: Eukaryota; Metazoa; Chordata; Myxini; Myxiniformes; Myxinidae
Description: lncRNA (ENSEBUG00000017142.1)
Source: RNAcentral
AGUUGUAACAGCUUCCGUUGAUUAAUUGUUGAUUCCAGUUGUUAUCCAAAUUGAUGGAUGUCACUGCCCUUUUGUGUGGAGGUCCAUGAUAACUGCUCGGGCAGAUUUUGUUUUUUCUAAUUGUCCCUCAUUCCCUCUCUUGCUUUUCCCCAGGCGUUUUAAUUCUCUGUGCUGAAGAAACUACAAAAGCUAACGAAGAGCGUAAUCUAGGCGAAGAAAAUGGGAGGGAGAAGGAAAAUGGAUGCACAUCAAAUUUAAACAUUGUGUCCUUUUCACGUACUGCACGCGUCCUCCAGAGCCUUACCUCUUCUCGCCUCACACCUGGAGAGAGAGAUCCUGCGUAUCACACGUCAGGACUUCCACAAAACUCUUGCCUCUUUCCCCCACUCGACCUCAUCCUUUCUACCCUCUGUCACCACAUUAUCGAUUUGGAUGCUCAACUUUGCUUGGGCCAGUCUAGGGAGGUACAACCUGGCUUUGGCGUAAAUGCAAUCUCGCAAACGGACACCCGUGUAGCUGUCUUACCAACACUCCAGGCAUUGCGGGGUGUGGAUCUGAGCUACAGUCAGGCGUCUUCAGCUCUCCAAAAUCUAAUGAGCCAACUGAAUGAGUUGUGGCCAGGAACGGUGGGCUUGUGGUCCCGCGUGAGGCGUGUUGCCACUUGGUUCACUCGGGAGUUGCUGAAAUUGCUGCUUAAAGAUUGUGAGCUGGGAAGGUUCCCUAGGCAGAGGCAGCGAGUGGCCGUGCUGUCUAAUUUGGCUUGUGCUCAGUUGUUGCAGCCCCUUUUGACCUCUGAAAUCUUGAACUCACUCGAAGGUUUCUCCAAUAUUAUAGAGGUAACUGAUGUGCACACACACCGACACACACACCGACACACACACACACACACACACACACACACACACACUCACACUCUCACCAUUAUCUAUGUUGUAUUCCAACAAGUAUGAUGUAACCUUACCUGUUGCUGUUUUCUCUAAGAUAUUGUUGCCACUGUGCUGUUUUUUACAGGAAACAUUAUUUUAUGAAAACUCGAUCUUCAUCCUGGAACUUCUCUCACAGAAUGGGCUACUGGCUCCACUCGCUGGUUCCUCGUCACGUUUACUCCACUCACCCAUGUUGCAGUCCUCUUGUUAUCCGCUUUAUCACAUCUACACCAGCCAUAUGUUUCGCUAACUCAUUUUGCUUUGCAUUAACCUCAUUCUGCUCUGUGUACACUCCUGUAAGUCUCUCAAAUAUAUCUAUUUUUCAAAAGUACACUAUGCAUUGAUCAUUCUUCUUGACGGGAACGUAUGAAAAUGACAAACCGUUUUACAAUUACACCAUGUACAAUGGUACCGUUUUUAUUGACUAUCACACCACACACACACACACACACACACACACACACACACACACACACACACACACACACACACACACACACACACACAC